AGUGAACGCUGGCGGUAGGCCUAACACAUGCAAGUCGAACGGCAGCACAGUAAGAGCUUGCUCUUACGGGUGGCGAGUGGCGGACGGGUGAGGAAUACAUCGGAAUCUACUUUUUCGUGGGGGAUAACGUAGGGAAACUUACGCUAAUACCGCAUACGACCUACGGGUGAAAGCAGUGGAUCUUCGGACCUUGCGCGAUUGAAUGAGCCGAUGUCGGAUUAGCUAGUUGGCGGGGUAAAGGCCCACCAAGGCGACGAUCCGUAGCUGGUCUGAGAGGAUGAUCAGCCACACUGGAACUGAGACACGGUCCAGACUCCUACGGGAGGCAGCAGUGGGGAAUAUUGGACAAUGGGCGCAAGCAUGAUCCAGCCAGACCGCGUGGGUGAAGAAGGCCUUCGGGUUGUAAAGACCUUUUGUUGGGAAAGAAAAGCAGCAGGUUAAUACCCCGCUGUUCUGACGGUACCCAAAGAAUAAGCACCGGCUAACUUCGUG
This 492-nucleotide ribosomal RNA is filed under the name uncultured bacterium. RNAcentral describes it as "partial 16S ribosomal RNA". It matches the Rfam family "Bacterial small subunit ribosomal RNA", at positions 29 to 507 of the family's 1533-position model. The record is from RNAcentral.